UUGUGAUUUCUACUAAUUGAAAAAAAAAGUGUUGGUUGAAAUGCUAGAGUUUAAAGAAUAAAAUUAAGCACAUUGUUAUAGCAGAUGUUAGUGGUCAAAUUUUCACUAAGAAGUGUAGAAAUAAAUCUACUUUUAAAAACAUUUCUCAAAUAAUUCAAAAUCCUGGUAAUUGUCUGAGUGUUAUUUUAGAAGAUGGAAAAUGUGAAACAUUUUGCAUUCAAUGUUUAUUUGCAGGAAUCUCACAUAAUGAAUCGUGGUUUGUUUUGCUGAAUUGUCUUUUUGUUCAGACUGUUUACAGCCUUGAACUUUUCUUGUAACAUCUCAUUGCUUUAAAUUUUGUCACAGUACUAUUAUAUGAAUAAAACAAACUUUAACCUGCUAUAGGUAACAUUUAUGUUUAUAUCAGAUGUGUGCUUGUGAGUAGGUGUCAUGGAGGCAAAAUAGAAACGGUCCUGUUGUUAGUGAGCUAGAAUUAUUUCAUGAUUGGAUUUCACAACUAGGCAGGUGAAUGGAAAACACCCAUCAUUUUUUCUUAUAUUCCAUAGAAAAGAAGAGUACGACGUAAAUGAAACUUAUAGAAAAGAAGACUACAAUGUAAAUGAACCUUAGAAAACUUGGAAAAUCCAUCUGACAUUGAUUAAAAACAAAAUUAACAAUGGUCAGAUAAUCCUGCAUUGGAACGUUCUUUCUUUUAAAAAAAAAAGUAUUAUGUUACUGAUUUAUGUUUAAUGUGAUUUGGUUAUGUGUCUAUUUGUGAACCUUGGAGGCCAGCAGAGGGCACAGGAUCCCUUGAACUUGGACUUACAGAUGGUUGUGAGCUAAGAUGUUGAUGCUGAGAAUUGAAUCCAGGUCUGUUGGGAGAGCAGUCAGUGCCUUUAACCACGAGGCCAUCUUGUGAGCCACUUAAUGGUCUUUCUUAUUGACUUAUCCUCUUGAAGUUCUGUAUUUUAUUGCUCUGGGAAAUCCUACAGUAUUUUUAGUUAAUGAGUCCAUGCGUAUAAAAGGCAUUAUUAGAACAAAUUAUAGGGAAUGAUCUCUGCUGUAUUUUCUGAGUUCUAAAAUUAUGUCUGAAUGGAAGCCAACAGUGCACUCAAUAGUAGGAAUCACUGUAUCCUUUCUACACUACAGUUUACCUUACCAAUACUGAGAUGCACUUACUAAAUGUUAAAAUACACUAAUUGCCCAUUUUUUUCUUCUUAAAUAUGGUGCCUUAGUAUACUAUUGAAAAAAUGAUUCUGUGAUCAUACAGAUAACUAAUAACAAGCCCUUACCAUCUCUCUCUCUCUUUUAAUGAAUUAGAUCAUUCAAAACACAGAGGAUCAUCUGGUAAGAAACUGAAGCAGCCUUAAAGUACUAGUGUGCUUCAGGCAACAGUAAAGUAAAAGAUUACAGAAUCGAUGUAAUAGGUUUCAUUGCUACCUGGAUUGUGUUUUUCUACACCACUGUUCUGAGGAUUUCAAAUAUUUAGGUCUAGGUAUUAGGAAAAGAGAAAGGAAUAAAAAUCUGAGCUACACAUACUCCAACCCACCCCAAAAAGAGAUGACAGGGUCUUCUUAUAGAGCUAGUUCAUAAAACAGUUCACAGGCAAUUUUUGAAAAGUAGGUGAUAAAAAUAGAAACUGACAUAUGAGUACAUUCUCAUUUAAAGGCUGAUAAAUGAUAUCAAGAUACCAAGCUGCAAAUGUAAAAUUAAUGUACAACAAAGGCUACGAUUAUUUUAAAGAGCAUCUGUUUCUUAUUUCAGAAUUUAUGUUGUCUUGUAUGACAUCUAAGAAGAUGCCUCAAAUGAGAAAAUGAAACAUAGUACUCAGAAGUAGAUAAUAGAUAGUACUGAACACUUUUAUAUUUAUUUUUAGUCUUUUGGUAUGGAUAUUUUAGUGAGGAUGCAGUAAGAGAAAUAUGAAUUAUAUACAAUGCUAUUGUCUUCUUUAAAAUCUCUAGUGUAUAACUACUAUAUGGUAAGUGACAGUGAUAGAUAAUAAUACAUAUACAAAUUAUUUCUAACUUUUUGUAGUUAUUAAAUAUCAUUAAGAGCAGCAGCUUUGGCAAUAAGCAAGGCUAAAGAAAAGUGUUACAUUCCACCAGCUUGUCUUCUAAAUACUUUAAAGAAUACUAACCUAUCUAAUUCUUGUAACUUUAUUUCUCAUUUUUACAGUUAAGAAAACUAAGAUGAUUCGUGUUAAGUUCCUUGCUCAUAGACAUUUGUACAGAGGUGAAGCUUAAAUACCAUGUUUGUGUUGGAGAGUAGACAGCUUACUACUCUGCUCUAUUAUGUUCUUUCUACUUAUUUUGACUUUGUAUUUCUUAACUGAAUAAUGGAGGUUUUAAUUCUUCAAUUUAUAUCAAAGUUUUUUUUUCUGCCACCGUGUGUGUGAUAUUUUUAAGGCUAAAAUCGGUGAUAUCAUCUCUAAACAAGAGCCAGAAUCUAAUAUUUACCAAAAUAAAAAAGAUAAAACCUUAUCUAAUUAAUGCCCAAAUCAGAAUACACACCCACGUGCCUUUUCAGAUUCAGAGAGACACUAAAGAAAGUAUUUAAGCCUUUCUGUGUGGAUUAAUAUUUUACUGGUAACAGUCUUUUUAUUAUCCCACACCCCGUUUUUGGAAGGCACACUUAGAUUUAUGUACCUGGAUUGAGGCAACAUUAAUAUUGAAUAAAUUAGAUUCUGCUAUUUUAAUUUUUUAAAUAAGUAAUUGCUUCAGUAAAUUGUGAAUGUUGUGAAUGUUAUGCAAAUUUUCAAUAUCAUGGCUUAGAACAUAAAAGUAAAACCCAAGAAGGAUGAUUACAGAGUCUCAUGUUAUAUUUACAAGUGUGUGUGUGUGUGUGUGUGUGUGUGUGUGUGUGUGUGUGUGCCUGUGUGUCUGUGUGUCUGUGUGUCUGUGUGUUUGAGUGAUGGGUAUUCAACCAAGAAUAAGUACAUUCUAGGCAAGCACAUUAUCACUAAUCCACAGCUCCAAGCUGUCUGGGUCUUUCCAAUGAAGAAAAAACUAUUUGGGAAAUACUCAUUUUGUUAUUGUAUUGCAUUUGAAGCAAGAGUCUAUCUUGAUGGCUGGGAUCUGACAGUUGUUUUUGCUUUAUGCUGUGUUUGAUGAGUAAGAGAAUUUGUUGAAUUCCUAAUCAGGCAAAAAAAGAGUAUAGAGUUGAUUGAUGAUAACAGGUGUAUUAUUGUGGAUUCGUGAUAACGUAUAUAUUGUUUUUGAUUGAUUUUAGUGUGUGUAUUGUUGUUGAUUCAUGAUAACUUGUGUGUUUUUGUGUCCAUAGAUGUGAGCCUUUCACUUUUCUAGCAUGUUAAAAACAGAAAAAUCAAGAAAUAGCCUGACUUUGAAAUCCUGGUUGUUUCCUUUCUGGUGUGAUAUGAGAAAACACAUUUUAUUAUAUUGAAAGGUCAUUGGGAAAAACUACUCUAAAUGAGUAUUUCCUGUAUGAUCUAGAAGGCUAAAGUCAGUGAUAUCAUCGCUAAACAAGAGCCAGAAUCUAAUAUUUACUG
This 3484-nucleotide long non-coding RNA is filed under the name Mus musculus (house mouse). RNAcentral's name for it is "long non-coding RNA chr18:51122106-51125590". The record is from RNAcentral. Lineage: Eukaryota; Metazoa; Chordata; Mammalia; Rodentia; Muridae.